RNAcentral lists this transfer RNA (73 nucleotides) under Ilumatobacter fluminis. It matches the Rfam family "tRNA". From Rfam's summary of the family: Transfer RNA (tRNA) molecules are approximately 80 nucleotides in length. Their secondary structure includes four short double-helical elements and three loops (D, anti-codon, and T loops). The record is from Rfam by way of RNAcentral. RNAcentral also lists the same sequence under 5 other names. Lineage: Bacteria; Bacillati; Actinomycetota; Acidimicrobiia; Acidimicrobiales; Ilumatobacteraceae.
GGGGACGUAGCUCAGUUGGCAGAGCACCUGCUUUGCAAGCAGGGGGUCGUGGGUUCGAUUCCCAUCGUCUCCA